AGGGACGUAGCUCAGCCUGGCAGAGCAUCGGCCUGUGGAGCCGACCGUCGCGGGUUCAAAUCCCGUCGUCCCUCCCA
This 77-nucleotide transfer RNA is filed under the name Pseudomonadota bacterium. RNAcentral's name for it is "tRNA-His". It matches the Rfam family "tRNA". Rfam says of the family: Transfer RNA (tRNA) molecules are approximately 80 nucleotides in length. Their secondary structure includes four short double-helical elements and three loops (D, anti-codon, and T loops). The record is from RNAcentral. RNAcentral also lists the same sequence under 2 other names. Lineage: Bacteria; Pseudomonadati; Pseudomonadota.